Molecule: ribosomal RNA, 440 nt
Filed under: uncultured bacterium
Lineage: Bacteria
Description: partial 16S ribosomal RNA
Rfam family: Bacterial small subunit ribosomal RNA
Source: RNAcentral
CCUACGGGCGGCAGCAGUGGGGAAUAUUGGACAAUGGGGGGAACCCUGAUCCAGCGACGCCGCGUGAGUGAAGAAGUAUUUCGGUAUGUAAAGCUCUAUCAGCAGGGAAGAAAAUGACGGUACCUGACUAAGAAGCCCCGGCUAACUACGUGCCAGCAGCCGCGGUAAUACGUAGGGGGCAAGCGUUAUCCGGAUUUACUGGGUGUAAAGGGAGCGUAGACGGUGCAGCAAGUCUGAUGUGAAAGGUCGGGGCUUAACCCCGGAACUGCUUUGGAAACUGUGCGGCUGGAGUGCAGGAGGGGUAAGCGGAAUUCCUAGUGUAGCGGUGAAAUGCGUAGAUAUUAGGAGGAACACCGGUGGCGAAGGCGGCUUACUGGACUGUAACUGACGUUGAGGCUCGAAAGCGUGGGGAGCAAACAGGAUUAGAUACCCCUGUAGUC